Molecule: ribosomal RNA, 232 nt
Filed under: uncultured bacterium
Lineage: Bacteria
Description: partial 16S ribosomal RNA
Rfam family: Bacterial small subunit ribosomal RNA
Source: RNAcentral
UCGGAAUCAUUGGGCGUAAAGCGCACGUAGGCGGCUUCGCCCGUCGGAUGUGAAAUCCCUCGGCUCAACCAAGGACGUGCAUCCGAAACUGCGGGGCUUGAGUACUGAAGAGGAUCGCGGAAUUCCCGGUGUAGAGGUGAAAUUCGUAGAUAUCGGGAGGAACACCAGUGGCGAAGGCGGCGAUCUGGGCAGAUACUGACGCUGAGGUGCGAAAGCGUGGGGAGCAAACAGG